AUGGGCUCUAGCCAUCGUCCUACUCCUACCACCCUAGUCUUCCUGGUGUUGCUGCUAUGCCUCUUCUAUGCGCCGCGCUGGGCCUUCUCGCUCUCCUUCAACCUCAACUUCUCCGACCCCAUGGCCUUUUCGUCGAUCGCCAUCGCCAGCGAUGCAUUCGCCAAUACGUCAACCCUCGAGCUCACAAAUAUUACACGUGACCCAGAUAUUCAGUACAGCGCCGGCCGGGCAUGGUACGCGCAGAAGGUGCCGCUAUGGAGCAGCGCCACCGGCGAGAUGGCCAGCUUCACCACCACCUUCUCCUUUCGAAUCACUCCGGAAAGCCUCCCGAAUACAGGCGAUGGGAUGACCUUCUUCCUCGGGCAUUUCCCUUCCAAGAUCCCGGAAUACAGCAAGGGGGGCGGCCUCGGCCUCCUCCCCAGGUACACUAACGGAACAGGCGACAGCCGGAUAGUUGCGGUGGAGUUCGACACUGCUUACAAUGUGGAAUGUGACAACAACGGGAACCAUGUCGGCAUUGACGUCAACUCCCUCAACUCAACGGCGUUCACAGACACGACGACCUCGCCGGGAAAGAACCUCACGUCGCUCCAUCUUAUGGAAGCCACGGUGAAGUACCACAAUGAUUCCAAGAUGCUGGCCGUCGAUCUCGUCAUCGGCGAUGCCCUGUACCAGGUCAAUGCAACCGUCGAUCUGAGAGAAUACUUACCGGAGGAGGUCGCUGUUGGCUUCUCCGCAGCGACUGCCCGGUAUGUUGAGCUGCACCAGAUACUGUCAUGGUCAUUCACCUCCACUCUGGUACCAAUUCCAACCAGCAGCAACAACAACAACAAAAGGUUGGUACCAAUUUUAGCAUCUGUCCUAGUUCCUCUGCUUUUUUUCUCUGUCUGUGCGGUGGUGGUACUGGGUUGGCGGCGACACAACAAAGCAAGAGCAAACGAGGACAGCGAAGAAGAGUGCAUCGACAGAGCUGAUCUCGAGAGAGGUGUGGCUGCCGACGGCCCCAGACGGUACAUGUACCACGAGCUUGUCGUCGCAACGAGCAAUUUCGCGGAGGAUGAGAAGCUUGGGCGAGGCGGCUUCGGGAACGUUUACCGGGGUCAUCUCACACUCACACUCGCAAGUGGCAUCGGUGGUGACCAAGACCCUCGUGCGGUGGCGGUGAAGGUGCUGUCUGCAGAUUCAUCGUCCCAGGGGAGGAAGGAGUUUGAAGCAGAGGUGAGGAUCAUCAGCAGACUGAAGCAUCGCAACCUUGUUCAGUUGCUGGGUUGGUGCGACAGCCGCAAGGGGCUCCUGCUUGUCUACGAGCUAGUCACGGAGGGCAGCCUAGACAGGCACCUCUACAGCAACGACGGCAGCUAUCUGACAUGGCCACAGAGGUACAACAUCAUACUCGGCUUGGGAUCCGCGUUGCGCUACCUCCACGGAGAGUGGGAGCAGUGCGUCGUCCAUGGCGACAUCAAGCCCAGCAAUAUCAUGCUUGACUCAUCGCUCAGCACCAAGCUCGGGGACUUCGGGUUGGCCCGGCUGAUCGACCACGGCGCCGGGUUAAUGCACACCACCAAGGCCGUGUUCGGCACCGUGGGGUACAUUGACCCGGAGUUCGUCAACACACGCCGGCCCGGCACUGAGUCCGACGUGUACAGCUUUGGCGUCGUCCUCCUGGAGAUCGCCUCCGGCCGUCGGCCGGUAAUCGAGACCGCUGAGAGAUCCUUCACGCUGCUCAGCUGGGUGUGGAACCUGUACGGGAGGGACGCGAUCCUUGACGCGGCCGACGAGCGGCUGAAGGGCGACGAGACGGACGAGCGAUGGAUGGAGCGGGUACUCGUCGUCGGGCUCUGGUGCGCGCACCCGGACCGGAGCGAGCGGCCAUCCGUGGCGCAGGCCAUGCACGUCCUGCAGUCCGACGAGGCGAGGCUGCCGGCGCUCCCACGGCACAUGUACAGGGCCGCACAGGAUCUUGCGUCGUACGGGUCUUUCUCCGUUGACAGCGCAGGCUCCGGUUGUGUUCGCUCUUCUUCGGUCAGCACCGGCAACACCACUGUUUCUUCCGAGUCGUCCUCGACCGCGCUGCUACGUCAUUCCAAGGAUCAAGCUACGUAG
Molecule: ribosomal RNA, 2103 nt
Filed under: Triticum aestivum (bread wheat)
Lineage: Eukaryota; Viridiplantae; Streptophyta; Magnoliopsida; Poales; Poaceae
Description: partial small subunit ribosomal RNA
Source: RNAcentral